CCCUACGGGGUGCAGCAGGAUUCAUGAAGAUAAUCCGGCCAUUGCCGCUGCAAAGGAUGACUGCCUCAUCCAGGGCAUUCAAUGCAGACUGGCACAAUUGCUCCUGAUUCGUCAUAUCACCUCACAAGGGCUGCCCUGACAGGAGAAGCCUCUGCAUUGUUCAGCUUCAAUGGAAGGCAGAUCAAAAGAUAUCUGCCGCAUGAAACUGAAGCCAGAUCCAGGCCUUCCAGGAUCAGGAUGUUGUUCUGCAGGAAUAUGCGAUGCACUGGCAGAUCAUCGUCUGCAUAUCUGUCUACAGAGAUAUAAUCGAUUCCGACCAGUCCGGUUCCCUGAGCUACACAGGCCAGUGCGAGCCUGGCUGAUAUGCUGACAUAGUCCUUCGUGAAUUCUUUCCUGUGCAUGAGACCCUUGCUGGAAUUGGCGGGAGGGC
Molecule: ribosomal RNA, 430 nt
Filed under: uncultured prokaryote
Description: partial 16S ribosomal RNA
Source: RNAcentral